This 380-nucleotide unclassified non-coding RNA is filed under the name uncultured Gemmatimonadaceae bacterium. RNAcentral's name for it is "contains 16S-23S intergenic spacer region". Lineage: Bacteria; Pseudomonadati; Gemmatimonadota; Gemmatimonadia; Gemmatimonadales; Gemmatimonadaceae. The record is from RNAcentral.
UCCGGUUUGGCACCGGCAGUCCCCCCAGAGUCCUCAGCCUAACCCGUUAGCAACUGGGGGCGGGGGUUGCGCUCGUUGCGGGACUUAACCCAACAUCUCACGACACGAGCUGACGACAGCCAUGCAGCACCUGUGCUGGGGCUCCGAAGAGCGCCGACCGUUUCUGGCCGGCUCCCCCAGCAUGUCAAGCCCAGGUAAGGUUCUUCGCGUUGCGUCGAAUUAAACCACAUGCUCCACCGCUUGUGCGGGCCCCCGUCAAUUCCUUUGAGUUUCAGCCUUGCGGCCGUACUCCCCAGGCGGGGCACUUAAUGCGUUAGCGCCGGCACCCGGAGGGUCGCUCCCCCGGGCACCUAGUGCCCAUCGUUUACGGCGUGGACUAC